GACGAACGCUGGCGGCGUGCCUAAUACAUGCAAGUCGAACGCAGUGGGGACGGGUGAGUAACACGUGGGUAACCUCCCAUCAGAGGGGAUAACACUUGGAAACAGGUGCUAAACCGAUACUGAUGGAUGGACCCGCGGUGCAUUAGCUAGUUGGUGAGGUAACGGCUCACCAAGGCCACGAUGCAUAGCCGACCUGAGAGGGUGAUCGGCCACACUGGGACUGAGACACGGCCCAGACUCCUACGGGAGGCAGCAGUGGGGAAUUUUGGACAAUGGGGGAAACCCUGAUCCAGCCAUCCCGCGUGUAUGAUGAAGGCCUUCGGGUUGUAAAGUACUUUUGGCAGAGAAGCGGUAUCUGCAGAAUAAGCACCGGCUAACUACGUGCCAGCAGCCGCGGUAAUAC
This 403-nucleotide ribosomal RNA is filed under the name uncultured bacterium. RNAcentral describes it as "partial 16S ribosomal RNA". It matches the Rfam family "Bacterial small subunit ribosomal RNA", at positions 28 to 526 of the family's 1533-position model. The record is from RNAcentral.